UCCGGCUUAUCACCGGCAGUUCCCUCAGAGUUCUCAGCAUUACCUGUUAGCAACAGAGGGUGAGGGUUGCGCUCGUUGCGGGACUUAACCCAACAUCUCACGACACGAGCUGACGACAGCCAUGCAGCACCUGUGCACCUCCCAACUAAAUGACGGGAUGUGUUUCCACAUCCCUUAGAGGGCAUGUCAAGGCCUGGAUAAGGUUCUUCGCGUUGCCUCGAAUUAAACCACAUGUUCCACCGCUUGUGCGGGUCCCCGUCAAUUCCUUUGAGUUUUAAUCUUGCGACCGUACUCCCCAGGCGGGGUGCUUAACGCGUUAGCUACACUACCGGAAUGAAAUUCCGACAGCUAGCACCCAUCGUUUACGGCGUGGACUAC
Molecule: unclassified non-coding RNA, 378 nt
Filed under: uncultured Rickettsiales bacterium
Lineage: Bacteria; Pseudomonadati; Pseudomonadota; Alphaproteobacteria; Rickettsiales
Description: contains 16S-23S intergenic spacer region
Source: RNAcentral